AGAACCAUGCAAAUACACGCAGCCUCCUUUUUUCUAUGACUUUCAGUCCUAAGCAAUCACAGGCACAUAUAAUCACUUAAAUGAAGAGCAGGAGUUGGAAAGCUUUUUCUUUUUUUUGAGAUGGAGUCUCACUGUGUCACCCAGGCUGGAGUGCAGUGGUGUGAUCUUAGGUCAUUGUGACCUCUGCCUCCUGGGUUCAAGCGAUUCUCCUGCCUCAGCCUUCUGAGUAGCUGGGAUUACAGGCAUGCGCCACCACGCCCGGCUAAUGUGUGUGUGUGUGUGUGUGUGUGUGUGUGUGUGUGUG
Molecule: long non-coding RNA, 304 nt
Filed under: Homo sapiens (human)
Lineage: Eukaryota; Metazoa; Chordata; Mammalia; Primates; Hominidae
Description: HSALNT0360015
Source: RNAcentral